RNAcentral lists this ribosomal RNA (1946 nucleotides) under Mesorhizobium sp. RNAcentral's name for it is "partial 23S ribosomal RNA". It matches the Rfam family "Bacterial large subunit ribosomal RNA", at positions 1 to 1977 of the family's 2925-position model. The record is from RNAcentral. Lineage: Bacteria; Pseudomonadati; Pseudomonadota; Alphaproteobacteria; Hyphomicrobiales; Phyllobacteriaceae.
GUUAUAUGGUCAAGUGAAGAAGCGCAUACGGUGGAUGCCUUGGCAGUCAGAGGCGAUGAAAGACGUGGUAGCCUGCGAAAAGCUUCGGGGAGUCGGCAAACAGACUUUGAUCCGGAGAUGUCUGAAUGGGGGAACCCAGCCAUCAUAAGAUGGUUAUCUUGUACUGAAUACAUAGGUGCAAGAGGCGAACCAGGGGAACUGAAACAUCUAAGUACCCUGAGGAAAAGAAAUCAACCGAGAUUCCCUUAGUAGUGGCGAGCGAACGGGGACUAGCCCUUAAGCUUCUUUGAUUUUAGCGGAACGCUCUGGAAAGUGCGGCCAUAGUGGGUGAUAGCCCUGUACGCGAAAGGAUCUUAGAAGUGAAAUCGAGUAGGACGGAGCACGAGAAACUUUGUCUGAAUAUGGGGGGACCAUCCUCCAAGGCUAAAUACUACUGACUGACCGAUAGUGAACCAGUACCGUGAGGGAAAGGCGAAAAGAACCCCGGAGAGGGGAGUGAAAUAGAUCCUGAAACCGUAUGCGUACAAGCAGUGGGAGCAGACUUCGUUCUGUGACUGCGUACCUUUUGUAUAAUGGGUCAGCGACUUAUUUUCAGUGGCGAGCUUAACCGAAUAGGGGAGGCGUAGCGAAAGCGAGUCUUAAUAGGGCGUCUAGUCGCUGGGAAUAGACCCGAAACCGGGCGAUCUAUCCAUGGGCAGGUUGAAGGUUAGGUAACACUGACUGGAGGACCGAACCGACUACCGUUGAAAAGUUAGCGGAUGACCUGUGGAUCGGAGUGAAAGGCUAAUCAAGCUCGGAGAUAGCUGGUUCUCCUCGAAAGCUAUUUAGGUAGCGCCUCAUGUAUCACUGUAGGGGGUAGAGCACUGUUUCGGCUAGGGGGUCAUCCCGACUUACCAAACCGAUGCAAACUCCGAAUACCUACAAGUGCCGAGCAUGGGAGACACACGGCGGGUGCUAACGUCCGUCGUGAAAAGGGAAACAACCCAGACCGUCAGCUAAGGUCCCAAAGUUAUGGUUAAGUGGGAAACGAUGUGGGAAGGCUUAGACAGCUAGGAGGUUGGCUUAGAAGCAGCCACCCUUUAAAGAAAGCGUAAUAGCUCACUAGUCGAGUCGGCCUGCGCGGAAGAUGUAACGGGGCUCAAACCAUACACCGAAGCUACGGGUAUCACGUAAGUGAUGCGGUAGAGGAGCGUUCUGUAAGCCUGUGAAGGUGAGUUGAGAAGCUUGCUGGAGGUAUCAGAAGUGCGAAUGCUGACAUGAGUAACGACAAUGGGUGUGAAAAACACCCACGCCGAAAGACCAAGGUUUCCUGCGCAACGUUAAUCGACGCAGGGUUAGUCGGUCCCUAAGGCGAGGCUGAAAAGCGUAGUCGAUGGAAAACAGGUUAAUAUUCCUGUACUUCUGGUUAUUGCGAUGGAGGGACGGAGAAGGCUAGGCCAGCUUGGCGUUGGUUGUCCAAGUUUAAGGUGGUAGGCUGAAAUCUUAGGUAAAUCCGGGAUUUCAAGGCCGAGAGCUGAUGACGAGUUACCCUUUGGGUGACGAAGUGGUUGAUGCCAUGCUUCCAAGAAAAGCUUCUAAGCUUCAGAUAACCAGGAACCGUACCCCAAACCGACACAGGUGGUUGGGUAGAGAAUACCAAGGCGCUUGAGAGAACUCGGGUGAAGGAACUAGGCAAAAUGGCACCGUAACUUCGGGAGAAGGUGCGCCGGUGAGGGUGAAGCACUUGCUGCGUAAGCCCACGCCGGUCGAAGAUACCAGGCCGCUGCGACUGUUUAUUAAAAACACAGCACUCUGCAAACACGAAAGUGGACGUAUAGGGUGUGACGCCUGCCCGGUGCCGGAAGGUUAAUUGAUGGGGUUAGCUAACGCGAAGCUCUUGAUCGAAGCCCCGGUAAACGGCGGCCGUAACUAUAACGGUCCUAAGGUAGCGAAAUUCCUUGUCGGGU